GACGAACGCUGGCGGCGUGCUUAACACAUGCAAGUCGAACGGAAAGGCCCUGCUUUUGUGGGGUGCUCGCGUGGCGAACGGGUGAGUAACACGUGAGUAACCUGCCCUUGACUUUGGGAUAACUUCAGGCAACUGGGGCUAAUACCGGAUAGGAGCUCCUGCUGCAUGGUGGGGGCUGGAAAGUUUCGGCGGUUGGGGAUGGACUCGCGGCUUAUCAGCUUGUUGGGUGGGUAGUUGCUUACCCAGGCUUUGACGGGUAGCCGGCAUGAGAGGGUGGACGGGGACAAUGGGCCUGCGGGACGGCGCAGAGUCCUACGGGAGGCAGCAGGGGGGAAUAUUGCACAAUGGGCGGGAGCCUGAGGCAGCAACCCCGCGUGCGGGAUGACGGCCUUCGGGUUGGAAACCGCUUUCGCCUGUGACGAAGCGGGAGUGACGGUAAUGGGUAAAGAAGCACCGGCUAACUACGUG
RNAcentral lists this ribosomal RNA (468 nucleotides) under uncultured bacterium. Its description in RNAcentral is "partial 16S ribosomal RNA". It matches the Rfam family "Bacterial small subunit ribosomal RNA", at positions 28 to 507 of the family's 1533-position model. The record is from RNAcentral.